AUCUACAGCCAUGCUACCCUGAACAAGCCCGAUCUUGCCUGAUCUCGGAAGCUAAGCAGUGUCGGGCCUGGUUAGUACUUGGAUGGGAGACCACCGAGGAAGAACAGGUGCUAUAGGCG
This 119-nucleotide ribosomal RNA is filed under the name Pteropus alecto (black flying fox). Lineage: Eukaryota; Metazoa; Chordata; Mammalia; Chiroptera; Pteropodidae. The record is from RNAcentral.